Molecule: RNA transcript, 1574 nt
Organism: Frankliniella occidentalis (western flower thrips)
Lineage: Eukaryota; Metazoa; Arthropoda; Insecta; Thysanoptera; Thripidae
Exons: 2
Source: RefSeq, a predicted model, not a curated record
AUUUUUGUUACAACAUACCACUGAAUUGAAAUGGAAAUAUUUGCAAAAACUGCAAACAUAUACAAGAAUGCAGUCUUGUCUACUUGGCCCUCAACAUGUCCUCAGAUUUGGCCUCAGGUCAUAAAUUAAAUUGAGAUUUUCUAUUCUACUGUAUAUGGCUUCUGCUGGCAUUCUGUCAUCAUACUUACUGAGUCUGAUAGAAAAAUUAUAAGGUGUUUGAGGUACAUUACAUUUCUCUUAGUUUCCUUUUAUUGGUGGUAACGCAACAGCUCAGGACUGCAUCCCAUUAUCUGAUACAAUGAUCUCAAGUCUAUCCUAAUUAAUUGUCUGUUUUUAAAUGCAUUUUUUGCAGCGGGUUGUAAAAUUUUAUUUCCAUUUCCAUCUCCAAAUGGAGGACAUCCUAUUUACAUUGCAAAAAUGUAGAAACAUGACAUGCAGCAUAGACCAUUUGUCUGCUCAUACAUAGCUGUCUAUUAUGGUUAUAGUCAUUGCCAAAAAUCAAAAACACUUAUUCGAAAGUUUUGAAAGUCGCAUUCCUUCCACUAUCAGGCUGUCUAAUACCUUUUUUUGACCAGAAAAUUAUUUUGAACCCAACGGUGUUAAGAUAAAAGAUGUACUUCCCCUUUAGAAUUGUAAAUUUUUUAGUAAUCACUUGGAAAUCAAAUUUUGCCAUGACUAGGAAUAAAAUUGUAUUACUUGAAAUACAUUGAUGAAAUGAUGCUUUUAAUUUUUUUUCCUCUAAAUUUAACUGUUCACGCCAGAGUGCUUGGCGAAGGAUACUUGGCGAAGCCAACGAUGGAAGGGAAAAACCACCAAUGGAAUUCGAAGUUACGGCAGUAUGAGAAAAUAUCGGGCAGAUGGUGUAUCGCCGUAUACCCUCGCCGCGGGGUACCGCCAGACCACAGAGUAGCGCCAGAUCGCGGGGUAGCGCCGUUUUAUAAGCAGUCGUUUCUUACUGACAUUUACGAUUGGUAUUUGAUCGCCAACAAAUGUUUUAAUGCUGGCAGGUGGGACCGUCGACAGCAUCAUGAACUGAUCACCCAACGACCUGACCACAAUGUGGUCAUGCCCUACCAACAGAGAUUUGUCACAAAACGUCUGAUUGACGUACUAGUGAUGUGAAAAUGACGUUAGCGGUCCAAAAAGAUGUCUUAGUGAUGCGAAUUUUCAUCAUUUUGACGUUUUCUAACCAAUCUCUGUUGGUAGGGUGACGACGUGCCGGUCGAACAGGUCGAACCUGCCGCGUGCCCUACCCCUCUCCUCCCCCACUCACCCCAUAUAUGGAAACGUAGGCGAACAAUGACGAUCGGCGUCUCUGCCAAAUACCGAUAAUACCUACUCAUAUAACUAUCAUUGAUCAUAGGAUUUUAACCAGAAUUUUAGAGUGGACAUCGCCGCUUUUCGUUAUUAAUCGCAAGAUAAUUUGCAGCUGCCCCUUCGUACUUGUUAAAUCCAGUGCCAAAAUUAGUUAUUUGAAAGACCAUUGUCAUUUAGGGACGCAUGGGGGGAGAGGCAUUUAAAAGUGUAUUGUAUGAGUUAUUUAUAUGUAAUUAAAAGUUGAUGAGCGCUAAAAG